AUGAAUUGUUUACAGGUACAACUAUCGCUUCGUAUACAUGAGAAAUUCCUAUGUAUACGGUGGGUCUGUUGGCGUGCCCGAGGAAACGUGGUAAUCUGGGCCGUGACACCACGCGUAUAAUAUAUUGUAAUGUUUUGUAGAACUAUUUAAAAUCAACGUAUUUAAUAUGUUGUAAUUUUAGAAUUAUUUUACUUUAGAGAUUAAUUUUGUAGCAUUAUUUAAAAGAAAUUGUAAUGUUGGUAAAUGUUUAAAUUCGACAAGUUUAGACAUUAAUUUUGUAUCACUAAUUAAAAUAUAUUUGAAUGUGUGUAAAUAUUUAAAUUCAACAUAUUUAAUAUGUUUAAAAAAAAUUUAAAAUUUUUUAAAUUUAAACAUUAAUUUUGUAUCACUAUAUAAAAAAAUUGAAUGUGGUAAUUGAUUAGAAAUAUUGAGUAUAAU
RNAcentral lists this long non-coding RNA (438 nucleotides) under Ananas comosus (pineapple). RNAcentral describes it as "long non-coding RNA (ACOM_LNC037438)". The record is from RNAcentral. Lineage: Eukaryota; Viridiplantae; Streptophyta; Magnoliopsida; Poales; Bromeliaceae.